Molecule: long non-coding RNA, 1867 nt
Organism: Pan troglodytes (chimpanzee)
Lineage: Eukaryota; Metazoa; Chordata; Mammalia; Primates; Hominidae
Exons: 4
Source: RefSeq, a predicted model, not a curated record
AGUAGAGACAGGGUUUUGCCAUGUUGGCCAGGCUGGUCUCGAACUCCUGACUUCAGCUGAUCCGCCCGCCUCGGCCUCCCAAAGUGCUGGGAUUAUAGGAGUGAGCCCCUGCACCCGUCUGACAUUAUUCCCAUUUUACAAACGGAGACUUGGGGGCUCAAAGAGGAUAGGAAAUAUGCCCAAAUCCCACAAGAAAUGAGGCAAAAAGGAGAUGCAAGCCCAAGCUUUAGUGUUCACGUCCUCUCUACAGCACCACGUGAAGGAUGACACUUGAUGGCCCAGGGCCUGUUCUUUAACUGUAUCAAACCAUCCCCCCAUUCCCACCCUUUCAAUUAACUACUGGUUUUGGUGGCCAAACUAUAAGGAUUAAGGCUCAUCAGGCGGGGCCAGCCAGCCCUGUAAGGGGAAUUUGAGAAAGUGAAUUGGGCCAGACUUUGUCCAGCACCUGGCUCAGAGCAGAGGUUCAGCUGGACUUCAAUAGCACUGCUGAAUGAAUAGAUAAAUUUGUUUUAAAUUCAAGUGUAAUGAGAAGUUGGAGAUGGAUGUUGGUGAUGGUUGUACAACAAUGUGAAUGUACUUAAUACCACCAAACUGUAAGUUUAAAAAUGGUUAAAAUGGUAAAUUGUUUGUUAAAUAUAUUUUAUCACAAAUUUUGAAAAAGUCAAAUGUGCACGGGGGGACUGGAGUCAUAUAAAGCCAUAUAAAGUAAUUUACUUUAUAUUAUCAACUAUUUUAUUAUUCAUUUGUUCCCUGCCAUUUGAAAGUAGUCAUAUUUUGCACAAAACAAACUGAUAUAUACAAAUCUAACUUAAAAAGAUGGAUAAGACCUUAAAUAAGAUGUAGCAUCGAGAUGACCUGGAUUUAAUGGUGACAAAUGUUGUGGUUGACCACAGUGAGUUCUGGGUCAGAUGGUCUAGGUGUAAUGCCUGGCUUUUUGUCUCUUAGCUGUACGAAUUGGGGCCAGUUAUUUAAUCUCUUUAAACCUCUUUUUUUCUCAUCUGUAAAUGAGGAUUAUAAUACUACCUAACACAUAAGAUUUUUGUGAACUAAUCCAGGUAAGAGACAAACUGUCAUGCUUUGAAAGCACUCAAAAAAUCCCAACUAUGAUUAGUAAGGCUCCAAAAGUGACUAAAAAUGAAGGGCCUUCAGUAUCAGUCUAACUCAAACCAGGCUCCUGCUUGUAAACAGCUAUGAGUGACUUGAUGUGUCAUCUUUCCUCUCUUUUACCUAGGUAUAGAAGACUCUCUAUGCUGCCCUCUUGAAUAAUGCCCCAAGAAUGCAUGCCUUUCCUGAUCAUUCUGUGAAAUAUUGCUGAGUAUAGGAACGAGUGAAUUGUAGAUGGAUAAAUAUCUAAACAAACUUUGGUCAUGCUGCAAGCCUAGUGGAAUGCCUGAUUCUUCUGGGUAUUGGUCAAGGAACACCCACCCCAGAAUGGAAGUCAUCUAGCAGGAAAGCAGUGGUCUGCUAUUCUCUGAGCACCAUUGACCACUUAUGGGAUUGUGGAAGAGACCUAACUCAAAUUUGGACCAAGAAGUGACUUGAAAUCAAGAUCUCUCCCCAGAAGAGACAACAAUGAAUAGGUCUGCGGUUGGCUGAAUCCACCAAAGUGGAACCUGUGGAUACAAAGAACCAGCUGUGUAAGAUCCCCAAGAUGUUAUAAUCGUUUUGAAGAAGUGUCAACUGUGAGCAUCACAAUAGCCUUCACUGGAGCAAACGAUAAAUUUUUUUCUCUGUGCUUGCCAACUGACUUGUCAAUCAGAACAAAUAGGAUGUGUUUGGGCCUCCCCAUCUGCCUUACAUGGAUAGUUUGGGGAUUCUUGUCACAGGGACAAAACAUGCCAUUAAAUAAAGACCACGCUUCCUGGAA